GACGAACGCUGGCGGCGUGCUUAACACAUGCAAGUCGAACGGAAAGGCCCUGCUUUUGUGGGGUGCUCGAGUGGCGAACGGGUGAGUAACACGUGAGUAACCUGCCCUUGACUUUGGGAUAACUUCAGGAAACUGGGGCUAAUACCGGAUAGGAGCUCCUGCUGCAUGGUGGGGGUUGGAAAGUUUCGGCGGUUGGGGAUGGACUCGCGGCUUAUCAGCUUGUUGGUGGGGUAGUGGCUUACCAAGGCUUUGACGGGUAGCCGGCCUGAGAGGGGGACCGGCCACAUGGGGACUGAGAGACGGCCCAGAAUCCUACGGGAGGCAGCAGGGGGGAAUAUUGCACAAUGGGCGGAAGCCUGAUGCAGCAACGCCGCGUGCGGGAUGACGGCCUUCGGGUUGUAAACCGCUGUCGCCUGUGACGAAGCGUGAGUGACGGUAAUGGGUAAAGAAGCACCGGCUAACUACGUG
This 468-nucleotide ribosomal RNA is filed under the name uncultured bacterium. RNAcentral describes it as "partial 16S ribosomal RNA". It matches the Rfam family "Bacterial small subunit ribosomal RNA", at positions 28 to 507 of the family's 1533-position model. The record is from RNAcentral.